GUCUUUUGGCCCAACCUUCGCACUCUAACCCCGUGCAUCUGUAUUAAUGCCUAGCAGUUUCUGAUUGUGAGCCAUUUCACUUUUAAACACGAGCUAUGAAUGUAACUUUUUUAUAACAAUAAAAACUUUCAAGAACGGAUCUCUUGGCUCUCGCAUCGAUGAUUAACGCAGCAAAUUGCGAUACGUAAUGUGAAUUGCGAAAUUCAGUGAAUCAUCGAAUCUUUGAACGCAUCUUGCGCUCUCUGGAAUUCCGGAGAGCAUGUCUGUUUGAGUGUCAUGAAUUCUUCACCCAUCUGUUUUUUGUAAACAGCUGGUGUUUGGAUUCUGACCGCUGCGGGGUUCUGCCUGGCUCGUUCGUAAUACGUCAGAAUCCCUAAUACAUCGGGAUGACUUGGCGUUAUACACUAUUCCUAAGGAGUCAAUGUUCCGUUGAUCCAACUUAGUUUGGCACCUUCGAAUUGAGAAGUCUACCUUUACAU
RNAcentral lists this small RNA (479 nucleotides) under Sporobolomyces sp. 2267 FbLB. RNAcentral describes it as "eukaryotic LSU rRNA". The stretch from base 124 to 277 matches the Rfam family "5.8S ribosomal RNA". Lineage: Eukaryota; Fungi; Basidiomycota; Microbotryomycetes; Sporidiobolales; Sporidiobolaceae. The record is from RNAcentral.